CCAAUAGCGUAUAUUAAAGUUGUUGCAGUUAAAAAGCUCGUAGUUGAAUUUCGGGAUCAGACUGUCGGUCGUGCCUCGGUACGCACUGGCAUUAUUGAUUCCUACCUUCUGAAGAACCGCGAUGUCAUUAAUUUGGUGUCGCGGGGAAUCAGGACUGUUACUUUGAAAAAAUUAGAGUGUUUAAAGCAGGCUUACGCUUGAAUACAUUAGCAUGGAAUAAUGAAAUAGGACGUUUGAUUCUAUUUUGUUGGUUUCUAGGAUCGACGUAAUGAUUAAUAGGGAUAGUUGGGGGCAUUAGUAUUCAAUUGUCAGAGGUGAAAUUCUUGGAUUUAUUGAAGACUAACUACUGCGAAAGCAUUUGCCAAGGAUGUUUUCAUUAAUCAAGAACGAAAGUUAGGGGAUCGAAGACGAUCAGAUACCGUCGUAGUCUUAACCAUAAACUAUGCCGACUAGGGAUCAGACGAUGUUAAUUUUUUACUGACUCAUUUGGCACCUUACG
RNAcentral lists this ribosomal RNA (499 nucleotides) under uncultured Glomeromycotina. RNAcentral describes it as "partial small subunit ribosomal RNA". It matches the Rfam family "Eukaryotic small subunit ribosomal RNA", at positions 591 to 1092 of the family's 1831-position model. Lineage: Eukaryota; Fungi; Glomeromycota. The record is from RNAcentral.